This 471-nucleotide ribosomal RNA is filed under the name Triticum aestivum (bread wheat). RNAcentral describes it as "partial small subunit ribosomal RNA". The record is from RNAcentral. Lineage: Eukaryota; Viridiplantae; Streptophyta; Magnoliopsida; Poales; Poaceae.
AUGACAUGCAAGAUUUAUCGCUUAAGAGUUGUAAGAAAAAUAGAAUGUUUUCGGUUCAGUCAGCCUAUUUUGUGGAAUGAGAUCAUCAACAUGGAAGCAAAUUCUGACAUAUUAAUGGUACGAGACAAACCACUGUUAAUCCUAUUUGGUGUAAUAUGUGGAAGCUAUCGUGUCUGGCAAAACAAUUUUUUUAUUUGGCGCACAUUGCAUGACACAGUCCCGUGUCAUGUUACGGUAGUCAAUAGACAUCUGAAAGUCUCGCCACAACGUCCUUCUUGUUCUUCUGAUGCAGAAGAUACAAAGCAUAUGUUAUUUCUUUGCAAUAAAGCAAAGGAUAUUUGGAGAAGGCUGGGCAUGGACGAAAUUAUUAAUAGAGCCUGUGAAGUAGAUUGUGCUGGCGAAGCGGUUAUGCAAUUCUUACUUCUUUUACAACAUCAGGAUUUGUCUAUUAUGAGUCUUCAAAAUGCUUAA